CGAAGAUAUCGUCACGUGGGGCGGAGGCGAGAUUUCAGAGUUGACAACUGCUCCAUGCCGAUGGUGGUGUGUGACUAGCUCUGCCAGUAUGGGUACUGUGUGACCUGAACUAUGGCCGAAGCCUCUGAAGAAGACCCUGCCAAUAAGUCCCCAAGCUUCCAUGCAGGACUGGACAGGCAUGAUGCAGGUUUUCCUGCCGAUGCAGGGGGAAGACUGCCCUUUGAACCCUGGACCCAAUUCAGUGGGAUGACCCACCCUGUGUCUCCAUCACAUCUGUACUGGGACAACUUCGGUCAGCCUUCAGACCCUGUGGAUGGACAGUUUGGGCUGUCCACUUCCUCACCGGACUACUUCAGUGCUUACUCGACGUAUAUUCAGGAAUUGGGUCGGUCUGGAGGUCUGCCAGUGUUUGAUGAUGCCAGCAGUCUUGGAAGCGAUUUCCCUGCUUCCCCUCCUUUACCUGAAGACUCUGGCUAUGACACUGCCUCCAAGGAAGGAUAUGACUUGUACACAGAUGCCAUGAAACAGUGGCAGACCGGGGAUAAAUUCAGUGGUACUUACAACCCAUUUGGGACAACUGAUGUCCUCACUCAGGCAAAGGUUCCAGAAGAGAAACCAGAUAUCAACAACAAGCCAAAAACCUACUCUGACGUCGCAAAAACUCUGAAAAGUAAACCUAUGCAGAAACCUAAAGAAGACCUUGACAACUGCUCAAAGAAAAAAGGCCCGGACACACUGCCCAAAUCAUUUAAGCCUGCUGUGAAGAAAUCCUUCCAGACUAGAGGAUUUCCCAGUCGUCAAAGGACAACAUCUGCUGAUGGAAACCAGGGAUCUAUAGUGUUGCCAGAUUCCAAAUAUGGGCUGGACCAGUUCGAGGAUUUGGAUGGCUUCGAGGCCAAAGUGGAGAGGCCCAUAAGCAGUAGUGCAGAGAGCCUGUCUCAUCGCAGUCGGAAAGGAAGCAACAGCAGUGUUAGCAGUGGCACCAGCGGCAUAGAGGAGAUUCAUCUCACCAAGUCCACCAGUAGGGACAGCAUGGAGAAAAACACUUCGGAGAAGCUUAACACUGACCCAGGGAAAGCUUCAAAUGAACAUGUGCCUCCCUCAAAGGACAAAUCAGACCGUGUCUUCUUUGAUCCCAAAAGAAUUUUUCAGAAGAAGGAAAAAGAUACAAAUAAAGUUAAGAACGAUAGUAGACAUUCUGGCACCAGCAAGUCUGCAGGCACUGUGUUGAACAAUGGCAAGCCUCCAAGUGCUAGUAAAACUUCAUGUGUGCCGCCCAAGAAGGCAGACUACAUCAAUAACGACCUGCGGGACUCCAAGAAGCGAACCAAUCACACUGCUGCAAUGAACAGAGAGUCCAGGAGUAAAGGUCACUCUGGGGAGGACCUGUUUCAGAACGGCGUGUCCCCAGAGCGGAAGUCGAGGAAAGAUGCCCCUUCCAGCCAUGACACUGAGUCGCAGAGACACCUUCCUUUUGGUGGCAACAUUGAUUGGGAACUGAUAGAUGAGUGGGUGAGCUACCUAGGUGAGAGGUGUAAAAGUGGCCUUCAUCGAACAGUGUCCAUCUUGCUAACUCUUCUUCUCUAUCUACUCGGGAUCAUCAUGUACUUAGCUUCAGGCAGUGUUCACCUCAUCAGUUUAGCCUGGAGUAAAGCCUGGUGUUUUAUCAAAGCUAAAGUCUUCAAAAAUAACUUUAAACCUGGAACAAUUCCUGGCACUACUGAGACAGCAAAACGACGGACAGGACUAGAAGAAAAUAUAUCACUGCCAAGUACAGGAGAGGAAGCCAUGAGACGACUUCUUGCUUGUAGAGGAAAAGACCCUUAUAGUAUUUUAGGAUUACGCUCUGAUAGCAGUGAUGAAGAUAUCAAAAAGUAUUACCGCCGCCAGGCCGUGCUAGUCCACCCAGAUAAGAAUCAGGAACCUGGUGCUGAAGAAGCCUUCAAGAUAUUAGGUCAUGCCUUUGAGAUGAUACGAGAACCAGCCAAGAGGAAGGUCUAUGAUGCUCAGAUGCAGGAGGCUCACGAGGCUGAGGCUGCAAUGAGAGAAUUCAACGAUCUUCUGACAAAACUUCAUGAAAAGAUACAAGAGGCUGCCAACAUGAUGAGGUGUGAUAACUGUGGGGGCAAACAUAAGCGUAUUCCAGUUGAUCGACCAUGGUACAGCGUUCGAUUCUGUGAUAGAUGUAACAACUUUCAUUCUGCCAAAGAGGGAGAUGUGUGGGCAGAGAAGAAGAUGUUAGGUUUUCUGUGGCACUACUACGCAUGUAUGGAUCAACACGUGUAUGAUAUAACAGAGUGGGUGGCGUGUCAUAAGGAGUUUUUCAAGCAGAUGCAGGCCAACUCUCACCACGUUUUCUACAGGAUAGCUACAGAUGGAAACCGAGGUCAUCGCCAUGGGAAGUCAGGAGAGCAUGAUUUGGAGGAUUUCAUCAACCACUUGUUUCACAAGGCGUCUAUGUCUCCUGAUGGUUCCUCACCAUGGCAACAACAGCAACAACAACAGCAACAACAGUCAAGUCAGCAGCCUCAGACGUCAUCGGCAUGGGGAGCAGGGUCAUCAUCGACGUCAGCUGCAGGGGGAAAACGAGCGCGGAGGAAGAAGAAACGUCACUAAAGUUAUGUCUGGUCUUGACACCAAUGCUAUAGUUGUGGAAAUCGGUGUUCAGUUUGCCAGUGGGCGACACAUGUUCUGUGGGACACUGAGUGUUGGUCUCUGACUCUGUCAUUCUUAGCAGAUGAUGUGGUGGAGAGGCUUGUCUCAGUUGAAUGUCCUCAGUUGAAAGUCAGGGCUCAUCUGGGUAAGAGAAGGAUACAUUUACUAUUUAGCAAUUUGAUUAAGCUCCAAUUCCACAAAAGACAGUGUUGUCUUAGCUAAGCACUGGUGAUACAAGAGUUUUAUGCUAGAAUUAUUUUGUGGAAGAUAGCUUUGGGCAUGCGUGAUGGUGUCAAUAAAAUUCUACUGCAUCCCUGCAUUGGACACACUCAAUUUUCUCAGUUGUUACGCCUGUACAUCGGUGCAUUCUUAGUUGCCAAGCAAGUCUAUGAACACAGGUGAAUCUAUGCAUUGGUCACUUAAGUUGUUCCCAGUUCUGUCAGUGGGCUGUGGUGUCUCCCUGCACUGGUGAAGAUGGGUCCUAGGGUCAGAGUAAUUCAGUGGGCUGUGGAGUAUCUUCCUCUGAAAUGAAUUGGUCUUUUAGCAUUUUCGCUUGUCAGAAAUCAACUGUGGAAACCCUUAACCUCCUCCUCCUUGUUGUUUUGAUAUUCUUCAUCUUUUGGCAUGACAUGGUCUGCGAGGAAUUGAUAACUAUGUGUUAGAUGUCAGGAAUCCCUCGCUAAAGUCUUCUGGUGUGGGAAACCAGUGGUCUCUGCUCAAUCCUGGCAGUUCCUCUCUGUAUCCUUGGUAACAAAGCUUCCUGGAAAUUUAUUCGUCCGUUACCCUGAACACUGUCCCAUUUGCACUAAGUAUUGCUUUUCUCAGGCCCUAAUCUAACAGCUCAUCCUCUCCAACAUUACUGCCUUAUCAAUCCAUCCAGACAGAUCAAUUAGAACACAGAGAUGGAAUUUACUGGUACUAUCACUUGAGAUACUUGUGUGUAUAUUAAUCUUUACUGGGUCCUCCUGUUUCCAUGCCAACCUAGCUAUACUAAUGUAUGCAUUAAUGUACAGUAUCAUGCAUAGAGAUGUGGGAGAAGCUGUCAGCUGAUACUGUGCAUGUCUGUCAAGAAGGGUGUGUUGUGUGAAUGUUAUACUGUAUGAGAGUGAACAUAUAGCUCUAUUUUUGUCGCUGUGUGAUGACCUAUACUUGUACAUAGCAACUGGCCAAUUUCAUGAGAACCAGUCACUUUCCUUGUCCAGGGCCUGUGAACUUGUCAGUGGAGCCCCUAACAUGGAUGUAAUUCUCAUGAAACUCUGGCUGACAUCUUCCUCUGAGUCUGUGGCUUUGUUACCAUGGUAACAAUGUCUUUGGACAAAACAUGCACAAGUCUUCUCGGUCCGCUCAACUUUUGGAAUCUUUAGAAUAUUUUCACUUGAAAGUGUUUGAAAUUGUCAUUGUUGCUGGUGGGAGAUAGGUGGUACAUUUGUUUGCAAUAAGAAAGUAGCUUCACUUGUAGCUACAUCGUCAUACAAGCAAAGUAUUGCUUGCAUGGCAUUAUUUUCAGUUUUGAAGUGAACCGUAGAAAGUGUAUGUUAUUGGACUUGAGUGUGGGGCACUUCCUAGCCCUUGAAUCAGAAUGUUUGUACUUACGGUAAAUAUAAGCACACAUGGAAGUGUUAGUGAUAAAUAGUCAGGUAGAUUGACAUUCAGAUAUGCCUUAUUGUGUCAUCUUAUUGUUACUUAAUUUAUUUGACCCAACUCAUGAUGAUCAGGAUGAAGAUGACAUCUGAGUUGCACCAUCUUGCUUGUCAGCAGCUUUGUAACGUAAGCAUGGCACAUUGUCAACAGUUUUUGUUCAGUUAAAGGAUGCAUGUGUGAGAUGGCAAGUGUACAACCUUGGUCUGUGUCCAUCCAUUUGGCCAGCAUAUUGUAUAUUUAGGAGUUUAUUUUUGUAUAAUUAUUGUCACUGUCUAAAUAGAUUCUGUGUGGGACUUUUUGCUGUAUCAUGUAACAUAUAGCACAUCACCAAGUUCAGUCACUGUGAAAUCACUUAAGGAUAUCCUAACCUUUGAAAAAGUAUGUUAAUUAUCAUUGUUUAUGCAUUGAAAAUGGCUUUGAAUGAAGGUUUAUAGCUUUAUGUGAUGUUCAUCUUGAACUGACUAUGGGCAAUAACUUAUUAUGUCUAAUUAUUGUGGUUGGUAUUCACAAUUGAGACCUAGAACUGAAAGUUUGACAACUAUGCUUCUCUAAUAUUCAAAUUUCAGCCGUGAUACUGUUCAACCCCGAACCCCGCCUUUUUCUUUUUUUUGUCCCCAAUGUCUGUUCAUGUACAGGUUUGAUCUAUAUCUGUCUAUCACUUCCAUUUCAUUAUUUUCAGUAUUCAUCAUGAAUAGAUUGUGAUAUUGUAGCAUAAUAACUGAUGUACACGUUUUUUGUCGUCUCCUGGUUUAACAGCUAUCAACAUGUUGGUUUCACAACAGUUUGGAAGAAUAAUGGCCUAUCAUGCAGUCAUCUUUGAAAUUAUUAAAUAAAUUUUCCUAUUGGACAAACCGUCUGCAGUAACAUUAAUUUUAGGACAAUAAUUGUUUCAAAUUCUCAGAUUUAUCAUUCAGUAAAUGAAUUGUGAUUCAAGAGUAUUGGGAUUAACCCAAUGAAUGUUUUAUUAGAUUGUAUUUUGGAAUAAUUUGAUUGGGUAUGUGUCUUUACCAAUAAAAAUAAAUUUCCUACUUUUGGGAGGUUGAUAUGCUUUUGAGUUUAUUCAGGGAUAUAUUUCUGUCUGUUUGUGAUUUCCUUUCAGGCAGCUUAUUGAGCACAGUGGGAACCUCCCUUAUUCUAUGCAAUUAGCACUGCAAUAGGGUGGAGCCUUGUCAGUUCUCUUGUCAGUCAUUCAAUGCCCCUUGUCACUGAGAAGGGUCAUCACUACCAAUAGUCCAGCAGCUUCUUACUACUGCAGUAGGUGGGGGUAUAUGUGUGACGGGUGAGAUGAUGCUUGGUUACGUGUCUUGCUAAGUGUUGAGUAAGAUAAUGAAAAUUUUAAAAUGCUUCUCAUCGUGCCAUUUGUUUACAACAUGUUGUUUGAAUGAUUCUGUUUCACAUCAUUUUGUGUAAGAAUUAAGAUGGUUUAGAUUUCAUUAGAAGACCUGUCUUUCCUUGCCUUAAGUAUCAUGCCAUGUUUGCUGACAUGUUUGAAAUAGUUUUCUGCCUUCUAAUAAAGAAGUCCGGUGCAGGUUAUUGGAAAUAGGAUUCUGGAUUUGUUGAUGAUAAGCAUUUUUUUCAAGGCCUGAAUCAUCUGAAAAAUUAAAAGUAUCUGAUUGCUAAUUUCACCGAGUAUGGUCAAUAGGCAGAAUGCAUAAUGAAAAAGUGAAUUUUCUUUGUAAAUGAGAAUAAUUAUGAUAUUUGUUACUCUCCGAUGUGCUUUGUCACAAUCGUCUCCUUUCUGUUCACCAUUUUCUUUCAUUUGGUAGAUGUCUUUCAUUUAUGUACGCAUCAUACUCUGACAUAUAUCAACCCAAUAUUAUGUUAGUGUUCACUGAGUGACUGUUACACUGACAUUACUUCAUCUUGUAGUCACAUGGUUACGAUUUAUUCCACUUUAUUGGUGAAUGGUUGGUUAUUUAUUGUGUCAUUGUGAGAGGAGUUACCUUGUAACACUGUUUUAGCAGUCUGGAAUUGUUUCAUUCCUUGAAUGGCGUUGCAUUUAAGAUUCCAACAGUUGUUAUGUGGAAAUGUUACAAGACUGGCCACGUCAUGCUAUUGGGUGAGAAAAUGUGGCGGCUGUAGGGUUGUGAUAGUCUGCAGCUUCUUGGUCUACAUUAUAACUUAGUACAGUACAUUACCUUCCAUGAUCAGAAAUAUUUUUUAGUCCAAAUGUUUUUGUGGGUUUUUUUACCAAAAAAAUUACACUUCUAACCUUUUAACCCUGAAUAAUCAAACAAUAAUUCAUAGUUUUUUGUUUGUUUGUUUUUCCUCCUUUUUUUUUCGAAACAAGCCAUCGUUGUCAGUAUAAUAUUUUGACUUAUCCAGUGUGCCAACAUGUAGUUUUCAGUUGCAUUUGAGAAUUUUUUCAUGGAUUUUGUUGUGUUUCUGAACUUAAAGGAUUGUGGAUUUGAAGCAAACAGAAAUUUGAGUGUUGCAUUUAUGUACAAGUGCUGCUGCUCUCAUCAUGUCUGUUGGGUCUAAAGUGGACUCCAAAGAUUAUUCAUCAUUUUGCUUACAUAAUUAGGAGUUGGAUAUAAUAAACUAUUGUUUACUAAUCUAAUGCAACAAUGAUGUAUAAUACUGUGAUUGAGAAAUAUAUAUGAAUAAAUACAUUGGAUAUUUGGC
Molecule: unclassified non-coding RNA, 6921 nt
Filed under: Haliotis rubra (blacklip abalone)
Lineage: Eukaryota; Metazoa; Mollusca; Gastropoda; Lepetellida; Haliotidae
Description: uncharacterized LOC124288668, transcript variant X2
Source: RNAcentral